CCUACGGGUGGCAGCAGUCGAGAAUUUUUGGCAAUGGGCGAAAGCCUGACCAAGCGAUGCCGCGUGCGGGAUGAAGGCCUUCGGGUUGUAAACCGCUGUCAGUGGGGAGGAAAGCUUUGUGAAGAGCAAGGCUUGACCUAUCCGCAGAGGAAGUGUGGGCUAAGUUCGUGCCAGCAGCCGCGGUAAGACGAACCACACAAAGGAAAUACUGAAUUACUGGGGUUAAAGGGUGGCGCAGUUGGUUGGGUGUGAAAUACCUCGGCUCAACCGAGGAACUGCGCCCAAAACUACUGUGCUUGAGGAAGAUAGAGGUAAGCGGAACUUACGGUGGAGCGGUGAAAUGCGUUGAUAUCGUAAGGAACACCUGUGGCGAAAGCGGCUUACUGGGUCUUUUCUGACGCUGAUGCACGAAAGCUAGGGGAGCAAACGGGAUUAGAUACCCCAGUAGUC
RNAcentral lists this ribosomal RNA (450 nucleotides) under uncultured bacterium. RNAcentral describes it as "partial 16S ribosomal RNA". It matches the Rfam family "Bacterial small subunit ribosomal RNA", at positions 338 to 795 of the family's 1533-position model. The record is from RNAcentral.